Molecule: transfer RNA, 67 nt
Filed under: Acanthobothrium sp. MZUSP 8035
Lineage: Eukaryota; Metazoa; Platyhelminthes; Cestoda; Tetraphyllidea; Onchobothriidae
Description: tRNA-Tyr
Source: RNAcentral
UCUAAUUUAACAUAUAUAGUAAUGUGACCAGCAUAACAAUUCUAUUAAUAUCGGUCACUUUAAGCCA